UGUAGAGGCCCUAAUUUUUUUUGAACAUUUGCUGAUAGCAUCAGGAUCUGCAGUGGCUGAACAACUGGAAAGCGUUCAUGGUACGGAGAAAGACACGAGACAAAUAUCCAGGUCUCCUGGAAUAUGUAUGGACUAUGGCAUGACUUGCUGGAUAAAUCAUCUUCCACUGAUACAACUGGAAAUCUCAGUCUGCCCAUCAGCAAUUAUACCAUAACACAAGCUGCAGUGACCUGGGUACCAAGCACAAGUGGGAUACUGUAGUAAAUGGCCCUCCUUUGCUGAAAGCUAAAAUACAAGAAUUAAGCCAUUAGGAAAAGAGAACAGAGACAUGUUAAACCAAAAAGGUCUUUUUGGAUGCAUAAAUUGUUCUCCUGACUGCUACCAGACCUGCUAGAAAAACAGUCUAUUUCAUUCACAAGCAGAUCAUUAGGAAGAGCUGCUUUGCCUUACUUCUGGAUUUAAGGAAUAUCCUGUCUUAUGUGCUUCUGUUAUAAGCAACCCUUCUGUGGUUUAUCAGGAGAAGACACAAAUAAUUACAACUUAGGCAAAGUUAGAACAAAACCAGAGUCUUCCCACCAAUGAACUCCCAACUUGGUGCUUGGACUGUGAAGGAGAAGCAGCUUUGAUUCUCUUACUCAAAGCCUGAAAACAGAUGAAGAAACGCAGCUCACGCCAAACUACUUGGAUUUCUUCAGUGCUUCAGGAGAGUCCUGUGCAAUGAGAGCAGCAGAUUGUUAGAACUGCCCCCAUGCUGUAUGAAGACAAAUUAAUCAUAUCCAAAUAAAGAGUGAAAAAGGAGUAUGAAGAAGGGGAAUGGAAAGAAAAAGAAUUCUAAAUAGAGUGACUGCAGUUCUUUUACCAGAACGUGUGGGCUUUGAUUUUUGCUGUUACUUUUCUUUUCAUCAUGGGAGAGGUCUUUUUCAGAGCUUACAGAGUUUUGAAAAUGUUUUGAUGGAAUUUUUUUGGGGAGGAUUUUUCAGUCAUCACGAGGCAAGGGGAGAUCAUAAAGGGAAAGAGCAGGAAUUUGCAGAACCAAUGGCCUGGGAAGACAGUGGUGUAGGGAAAGGCACCAUUGGGAACGUUCAGCUCCUCAUGAAGGAGGUGGAGCUUCUUUGUGUGAGCCAGGCACUGGAUUUUUGCACGGUGUCCUGAGAUGGCUCUCUCUGCUUGCAGUAAGUAAAAACCAGCUCAAUACAGCUUGUGAGGGCUCCCUGUUUGGGCUGGCUUGGCUAUCUAGGUCCCAACUCCUUUUCAGAAGGUUCAGGGGACAAGAAGCUUAGGCAUGUUUCAGAACAGAACUCCAAGCAGCCUGUGGCUGUACCCCAGAAUUGUGUUUGUGGGCACACGGGUUUUCUCUCUUAGAUUUCUCCCAUUCUUUGAGCAAUAAAGUGAAGGAAAGCUGAUUGGCUUUUUAAAAAAUAUAAUGAUGUUUUAAGUGUACUGUCUGUCUGAGUCAUGCAAAAAUCUUAGUGAUUCCCCUCUGUGAAUAGUGUUGCCUAAAAAUUACCUUAAAUGUCCAAUUAAUUGGUAUUCCAUUUCUGUCUCAAUUUUUUUGAGAAAUGUACUUUAUUCUGCUAGCUGUAGUCCCUCCUAUACUUGGUAGGUUUUUUUUUUUUUUCUCUUUGUCUAGGUACUUAUUUGCAAAUGCUCAGUAGACUAAUUAAGGUUCCUGAAGGUUUAACCUUGUCUUAUCAGUAGAGCCUGAGACUUGCCAUGGUGUCAGCUCAGUAGGCUGGAGGGAAGGGUUCCAGAAUAUAUUGUGUAAUAUUGCCAAACAGGGCUUUGCUGUUGAAAUUACUCAUUUCACAGAGCUUAGGUCAAUGUUAAUGUGACAGGGGACAUUUAAUUCUGUGGGAAGGUGUUUACAUCACAUGGUUUUAAAAGAAAUUUUAUCCCCUGAGUCUAAAGGAAACUAUGCUGCUUGUAUUUGUCUUAAUUGUUUUUUAAUUUGUGAAAGAAAACUGUACUUUUAAUUAAUUUCCAAACAAAAGCAAAUUGUACACUUUGCUUAUAACUGAGUGCACUGGGAUGGAUCUGCAUCAGCAGAGAAUAUUCACCUAUUUUUGUGUAAAGGAAACAUAUUUCUGAAAUAACUGCCAAAAUAUUAGGGGGGCCCUCCCACCCUAUUUAUUUCAAAAUAAAGGCCAGAAAGUUACAGCAGCUCAGGUCAGGCAGAUCCUGCUCUCCUUGAUGUCAUGGUGUGAUGCCAUCAAACAGUGCUAGCUUCUGGUGCUCUCCCUUUUGUUUGAUAAAAUGAAAAACAUUUAAAAUGUCUCUGGUCUUACCUCAUGGAACUAUUGCUAGUCCUUUUAAUUGAGAUUUUGCACCCUAGCUCUGGAAUACAUAUUAUUUUCUCAUGAGAGCUUCUAAUUCCCUUCUAUUUGUGAGACAGAGAUCUUCACUGGAUUUGCAGUACUCAAAAAUAAUAGAGGGCAACAUAAUUUAUAUUUUUGGUUUUUUUAAUUGUCCAGAUAGUAGAUGAUGUCAUUACCCUGUGUUUGGGCCAAAUACGCAAUAUAUACACAUCCUAGAGGAAAGAUUUGUGCCAAAAUUACACCCUUGCCUAUAGCAGUGACAAGCCUCAAAAAAUAUAAAGCUACAUCAAAAUGAAAAAACUAAAAAAAAUAAAACCAAAAAAAAAAGAGCAAGGAAGAAAGAUAUCUUCUUUUGUUGUAUAAUAGUGAAGAGAUGUAUCAAAAUCCAUAAAUUAGGCAGAACUUUAAAUCCACAUAUAAUUUCAAUUACAUACAUCUGUUUCUCCUUAGGAAGAAUGAAGUGAGGUCAACAACUAAACAUUUUACAGCCGUCAAGAUUCUGGGAUGCUUUUAAAGCUAUAUACAUGUGUGAUUUGUAAGAAACCUAUUUAUAUGUAAAAUUUCUCAUUUGAACAUUCAUUCUUUUUAUUAUGCAAACACAAUUUUUUUUGGAAGCUCCAGGCUUGGAAGUGAAGUGAAUGCACGUAUUUCAGCCCAAUGGUAUUGCUCUAUUUUUUUUUUUUUAUUUUAACCCCCUGAUGUUUCUGUUACCAUGAAGAAAAAUAUCUGUUUAACUUUCAGAUCUGCAGAUAGUAGGGAAUACAUGGGACAUAGAUUUUCCUUCAGAAAAGUAUGUAAAAGGUUUCUGAGUUCUUUGACAAAAAUAAAAAUUAAAGGCUUAAUGGAGGUUUUUGAGAGAAGAUGAGCAAGGGAGGAACAUUAUAUGCUGGGACUCAAGGUAGAACAUUUUUGAAAUCUUUGAAUUAUAUGCAAUUUCAUGUAUUUGAGUGGCAGUUCCUGUGGUUCUCUCACCCAGUACCAGGCACAGCCUUGAACAGAGCCCGGCUCAUUCAGCAGAACAUAAUUUUAACAGUAAUAUUAAUGAAGCUGAUAACUUUACUGAUAAGAUUUAUAGAAACACAGAACAAAAAGGAAAUACAUUUUACAUUCAUCCCAAAUAUAGGGUAUAAUGUAUUGACCCUCCUCAAGCUUGCAGCCUUUUUGAAUUCCUCAAAUAUUAAAAAGUGAGCAAGGACUUAAGUAAGCUUGCUCAACAAUAAAUCAAACAAGAAAGCAGAAUCGCUUGGAAUGCAUAAUCAUAAAACCUUAAUGCAUAAAAUAAAGAGCAAAAUACUGACCUAAAUUGUUAAUAACAGGAAAAGUCUGUUAAUACCUGUUGUAUAAACCCCUAAUCUUUACAGUUGUUAACAGAAACUGGAGUGCAUGCAUAAAAACCAUCUCUUCACAGCAAUACUGUUAUCCACAUCAAUCAAGAUAAUCCCACAGUAAAACCUUGCUAAAGAAGAGAUGUGGCAUGUUUGGAUAAUGUCAAUGAUUAGAAAACAUGUCCCAGAAAAUGCCAUGCAAAACAAGUUUAAAUAUUAAUGCACACCUUCCUAGCCCUUUUCAAACUGAGUCUCAAAUUAUUUACGUGGACCUCAAGGGCUGAAAUCUGAUUUCACUUCCAGAUGUGAAACAAACAGAAGUUUCGGUGUGCUUGAAAGCAAAAGUGUAAUUUUGUACCAUAAAACUUCACAGCUAUUAUUUUUGGUUUUUUUUUCACAAAAUAUGAAUUUUCUCUCUUCACAAGGGUGAAUUGAGUCACAGAGCAGGGACGUGAUUGAUUGAAUGUGAACACAGCACAUCUUGUUAUCUCUUGCUACCACUUCCUCCUUCAUGGCUCAAGGAAACCCAUGCUGCUGGUUCAAAUUCAUUCCAUCUUAGGCUGACAAUGCAUUUGAUCACAGCUCAUCAAAGAGGACAAUUUUGUUCUUUAGCCCACACCAUAAAUUGUGCCUGGAAGAUUUUCUUAGGGUGUAUGGUGGGUUCUGGAGAAAUCAUUGAAAAAGACAGAAUUACACACUAAACCCCUGUGAACAAUCAUGUCCUUAUUUUCUGCUCUAGAUUGAUGGUAAUUGAAUAUGAUUUGCAGGUUGGCAUUCAUAGACUGCUAAUCACUUGGGAAAAUACAACACAUUGAGCUCUCAAGUGUUGUUCUGCUGUUGUUUUUCAGGGCAAUCAAAGAAUUGGCUCUCCUUGUGUGCUUUUGAGGAAGGUGGUGUUGAAAUAAAUAUGACCAGCUUUGAACCUGAACAAGGACCAGUCUUGAGCAUGAACCAGGAGCUGCAACCAGGCGUCCCCACUAUGAGAACAUUCCUACACAGCAUCAUAAAUGUGGGAUUGCAUCAGUGCAUGAAUGAGAGCCCCUGCCAAGCUGAUCCAAGGGUAAAAUGAAAUACCAGGUGCUAAAAAGUGCAGUGCACAAGCACAGUCAAGGCACCCCGUACUCACAGACCUUAACAAGACGCACUAUCAGGUUUUCUGAGGCUUCAUAAUAGGGGAGAUUUUUUCAUGAAUGGGGUGGAGAAUGAUGGGGAUGUUUUUUACUUUGUCACCUGAGAGGUGGAGCAGUUAAAAUAUGGAGACUGAGCUGAGAAGUCAUUUGGAGUUCCUGCUGCUGAAUUACUGGAAAUUGCUGAAUGGGGAAUUGGAUGAGUCCAUGAUGUUCUUGGCAGGAGGAAUAAACACAAGGAGAUUGUGUUCCAUACAAAAAAGUGACCCAGUAUUACAAGAAUGAAAAGAGAGGGGUGACAUGGACACAACUUUGUAGUAGAAGACCAGUCUUUGCAGCAACAUUUUUAAUAAAUGGAGGGGACCAAAUUUGUUUUGUAUUUAUAUACAAACAUGGCAGUGAAAUGCUGGCCAUUCAGAUUAAAAAGUGGUGCAAGUGAAUAUUAAGAUGCCUAUUUUAAUUUUGUAGAAUUUGAAAGAUGUCAGAGAGACAAGGGGGCAAUGGGUCUGGGAUGCUGAGGGCUGUUAGUUGUAUUUAAAAAGUAUUUAAAUUUGCAGGUAAGGGUAGCCUGAGAUAAAUAUAAAGGCAAGAGUGAAGGAGACAAAAUAAUAUGUAUUUUGAAUUUCCCACCAAGAACCACAACAAAAUCUAGAGAGUUCUGUAGAAGAAAGACAGCAGGAGAAAAUUAUCAUAGUGCAGAGUCAGAGAAGCCAAAAGGAGACUGAUUUCAAGAGUUACUUAGCUGUACUGAAGGGAGCUGGCAGUUCAAGGCAGGACACAGAGUGCUAUUUCUGAGUGUAAAGAGAUUGAAUAGAGAGGAGAAAUGGUAGUUAAAGAGGCUAGGGGGUGGGACAAGUUUAUUUGUGCUGUGACAUGGGAGGAUGGGAAAGUGAGGCAAAGAUUAAAAGACAAAAUAAAAAGAGAGACUAGCAAAACUGAAUUUACAGUUCCAGUGUUGCAAUAGGUAAGUAACAGGGAGUAAAGACAAAAGAUUGUGAUGAAAGAAAAUGGAGAGGACUGAAAUAAGUUCUGAAAAUAUGUCACAGAUGUUUCUUGAAUCGCCAGACGGUAAUCACUGUGCCUGCUGGGGAUGAUGAAAGUAGACAGGUCCAGAUAUUGCAGGACAGACUGCAUCAUUCUGUGGUGCUCUGAUCCAGGCUGCCUUGUUUUCUGGGGCUGGAUUCCUUGAAAUUUGGCUGAGGUGGAUCUGAACACUGCUGUUUCUGCAUGAGGCUGCUACCCAAGCGCCUAACUGCUGCUGCAAGCUGAACUCAAAGAUGCUGAUGUGUGUAACUGUAGUGAUGGGUUUAUGGAGAACGUUCCCCUCAUGUUUUCCAUCUUGAUUCAUGGCUGACUCACGGUGGUUGGAUGAUCCUGAAGGAGCUGGAAGCGCUCGCGGGCACGCGGCAGGAAAACCAACAAGGUCACAGACACAAACAGGAAACUCUGGGAGGCUGGAUUUUGUCCACAGCAGUCAAGGGCCAGCUUUGUCACUGCCCUGCAUAACUGAGCCCCGAGUGAACUCAAGAGAGGCAGAAUGGGUGAAAAGGAAGCAUUUUUUCAUUUCACUGCAUGGCUCAGUGCUGGUGUUCUAAGGCUUUCCUGUCCCUAAUAAAUUGUACAUGGUGCUAAAUCUGUUUUCAAAUCAUAAUGUUGGCAGAAGAUUACCAUUAAAAACUUGUGGAAUCACACAGUGAAUUUUUAACAAGUUUCUUUACAAUGAACCAUAUACAUUUGUAAUAAGUAUUUGUUGGAAGAAAGAAAACGACUUUUUAACAAAGUGUAUAUCCAUAGAGGUCGUCUGAUUUGUGUAGAGACUACAUAAAGAGAGGAAAAUGUCAUUGCAUCUCUGAGGCUGGACAUUGGAUGGUAAAUUCUUAAAGUAAAAAUUCUAGUUUUUCAGUUACUCAUUAUUUUCAUCUGUAUUUGGCAAAACAGGGGCUUGUCUGGAGGAAACUAUGAUAAUUGACACACUACUACACUACUACUACUAUCAUUGUAAUAAUUCAUAUAUCAAAUCAAUUAAGAACUGACUGCAAACAAAAUUAGCAGAAUUAGAAAUAUUUCUUUUUUAUCAUCAUCAGAACCUGGGCUACAGCACAGAUGUUCUCAGCAUACCUCAGUAUGUAUUUUAAACUUCAAAACAUUUUCAUUAAACCAACUAUUAAGCAGGUAUAAGAAUUUUGAAAAAGAGUACCAUUCUCUAACAAACCAAAACUGCUAAUUUCUUAGUAAGAUGAGCCAUGGGCACAAACUGACUUUUUUGAAGUUUUCCCUCAUUUUGAUGAAAAGGAGAAGUACAGAGUGAGGUUCCUGCCCUGCCUGUGCCUGUGGACUGCAGUGUGCAUAAGAGCCCCUUUCUCUGAAAAUGACCAUUUGCUCCUUAUUUGAGGGCAUUUUAACCUCAAAUACAGUAUUUAGCACACCAAGGAGCCGUGCAAAGAUUUGGGAGGGCUUUUUACUGUGUGGUUGAGCUACUUAAAUACAAAGAGAGAGCCUAUGUUGUGUUCAAUUGUGGUUAAAAAUAAUGUGGCACGUUUUUCCAGUCUACUCUGGAUAGAUUCAGUACUCUUAUUCAUGUUAAUAAAAGUCAUGCAAUAUGAGCACAAGCCAAGACUGAAAUUAUCCCAUAGUGGCAUUUAAAUUAGUAGAGAAAAAAUAUGUUCACUCCCUGUAAUACCGGAUUCUUUUUGCCCCUUUCUUUUUAAUUUCUAUUAAAACAAAUUAUUUGAGCAUUAGUAUAUUGGCCUUAAUUAGCUUUCAUCUCUCCCCUUUUGAUUUAAAUAUUGCCAAGCUCCAUUAAACUGGCUGUGUGAAUGCCAGAAAAUGGUCUACUACUGAAUUCCAAGUGUGUGUCUUUGUCACAGUGUAAAUUGAAAGGUCACAACAGGUCAUCUAAUGGCUUGGUACAUAUUCUAUUAAUUGCACUUUUAAUGUGUAAAGCACACUGAAAUUAUCAGAUAAAGGGUGCUACAUUCUGGUAAAAUAUCAGGCGUGCCUGAAUCAUAGUCAGACAACAUAAGAAAAUUAAUAUCCUAUUAUUCUAAUAUCUGCUCCAAAAAUUUUGAUGUGGGUCCAUUUCCCUUUUCUUUUAAUUGACAGUGACUUGCUCCCCUCCAUUGCUGCUGCUCCUUUGCUUCUCAGAGAAGGGAUAUUUGGAAUUUCAAGCUGCCCUCUCCUUUUAUUUGUGGGAUAUGCUCUGUUCAGGCAAGAAUGUAGGGAUUCUGUGGUACUUCUCAGUAUUUGUCUCUCUUAAUUCCUUCAGAAGGUGUGUUUAUACUGUAUCAUUUCUCUAAAGAAACACUGUCAAGAUGAAAAAUGGAAGGCCUAGGAGUUAGGAAAAAAAAAUUAAGAUGGUGAGGCUCUGCUUUAGCUUUAUCUAGUAUCUGCAAAAAUUGAUGAAUAACAGCUGCAGAAUUGGUAUUUGCCUAAUCCUGCAAAGUGUUGGCUCCUCUGAGUGAUAAAAAGCACCCUAAAUCCCCAGUGUGUAAGAGAAUAUAUUUUUAUGCUUUUUAAUUAAUCAAAAACUUGCUAUCUUAAGCCAAAGGCUCAUCACUCAAUCUCCACUUUCCACAAUCAUUAUUACUUCCUGAUGCAUAUGUGGAGCUUAUGCAUCACUACUUCCAACAAUAUGUCAUCUUUCAACCAGAUAUCAUAAACCAAAGAGCAGCAAGACAAAAUUAGUUUUAAAGUAACUCAGUCAGCAUCAGACUGGAGCUCUGCUCACUUUUUUUGGGUGUAUUUAGUACCCCACCAUAUACAGUUUUGAGGAGGUGAAUGGUUUGGUCCCUGUUUCAAUUUAUGAAAUGAUGAAGUUUAAAGACAAAGCAGGAAAAAAUUUAGUGUCUUGCUUAUGGAGGUUGUGAAAUGACAGCUUUCAAAUUGCUUAGCAUUUGUAGGAAUUGUUAUGGUGGGAAAGCUGGGCAACCAUUUUGGCUUCAGUGAUUCUUAUGUGCAGUUAGAAAAGAAAGGUAGCCAAAUAAACAUUAAAAAAUUAAUUGCAAUAAUAUUAUUUUGCAGAAGAAUUCUAUCUUUUCUUCAGAAACCUUGGAAUAGUUUCAAAGGUCAGAAUCGCUUUUAUUUUGCAACAAGAAGUUAUAUGUUGCCUAAAUUAAACUGUCUUUUUCUCUAAAAGUAAAUUUUCAAUGCAAAAAUUUUCUUAUCUGAGUUAUUCAUCUCAGCAGCCAAAACAAAGACAAUAGUUCAAUUGCUCUUUAUUACUGAUCAUGGUGAAAUUAAGUGUUGAACCCAAAAACUAAUUCACUUCCUCAUUUGUUGCAUAUAACUGAACCUGAAAAAAAAUUGAAAAUAUUAGAAACAAAGUGGCAGCCUUGACUGUUACAUAAGGGCCAGAUUUGUAAAGGGACUUCCAUAUAUGACUAAAAUACAAUGAAAGUUGAAUUCAGACACAAUUUUUUUAAAAUAAGGUGGCAAAAGAUCCUUUCCACAGGAAUUUUCAUUCCAUUUCAGAUUCACUUCAGCUGAAACAUGCAUGCAGGUACCAGAAGGUUCACAGACCUGCAGCAGAUAAGCGACUGCAUUCAGCUCUUCAAAACAUUCCCAGGAAGUGCAUUUCCAAACCCCACUGUGAAGAUAUUCUUGAAACAGAAUGUCAUCAUCUUGUGCAUAAAUAUUUGUGCUGGGAAGACUUUUCCGUAAAAAAAGCUUGGAACGUAGCUGUGCAAUAAAAAAGAGGUAUGUUGCUCUUAUGGAUAAAGAGUGUUUCCAAAGUGUUGACAACCAACCCAAACAAAAAAACCAAAAAGAUUUCAGAGUAUAGAUGGAUGUACUAGUAAUUUUAGCUGUGUCAGGAUGUUACUUGCCAAAGAAACAAAUUUUAUAUAUUCCUGUGGUAGAACAAAUUUUGGUUCUGCAGUAUGUUUUCUGAAUUGCUGUCCAGUAUUUAAGCUGGUGUAAUUCAAUAUAGAUUAUUGAGCAGAAUAUUGUCUGCACUUUUAUUAUAAACUAUCAGUCUGCACUGUGAAGUUAUUUCUAUUUUGUCUUUUUUGAGAAGAGACUGCCCCGAGAGAUAGGUCCCAAAAGGCCUAACAAUAUCGCUUUUGAAACUAUUUACGUUCCUGACACUGCAUAAUAAAAUUUUUAUUCUGUUCUUUUGUGACUUUUUUAUUGCUUGCUUUUGAAACAUCAUGUUUUAUUAUCUUUCAGUCCUGUUAUCAAUCUUGAGCAAUAAGAUGACUGUAAUGACCUGUUUUAAUAAGCCUAUUACAGAUUUCUAUGUUGAUUUGACAUACCUAAGUAUAGUAAAAUGGUUUAUGAGGAAUAAACAGCUGAGUAAUAUCACAUUCAUAUCCUUGGAGAUGAAGUGAUUGUAGAUGAGAAAUAAAUAAUUGAAGAAGA
Zonotrichia albicollis (white-throated sparrow) is the source of this 10125-nucleotide non-coding RNA. The record is from RefSeq and is a predicted model, not a curated record. Lineage: Eukaryota; Metazoa; Chordata; Aves; Passeriformes; Passerellidae.